This 455-nucleotide ribosomal RNA is filed under the name Pseudomonas viridiflava. RNAcentral describes it as "bacterial SSU rRNA". It matches the Rfam family "Bacterial small subunit ribosomal RNA", at positions 56 to 507 of the family's 1533-position model. The record is from RNAcentral. Lineage: Bacteria; Pseudomonadati; Pseudomonadota; Gammaproteobacteria; Pseudomonadales; Pseudomonadaceae.
UGCAGUCGAGCGGUAGAGAGAAGCUUGCUUCUCUUGAGAGCGGCGGACGGGUGAGUAAUGCCUAGGAAUCUGCCUGGUAGUGGGGGAUAACGCUCGGAAACGGACGCUAAUACCGCAUACGUCCUACGGGAGAAAGCAGGGGACCUUCGGGCCUUGCGCUAUCAGAUGAGCCUAGGUCGGAUUAGCUAGUUGGUGAGGUAAUGGCUCACCAAGGCGACGAUCCGUAACUGGUCUGAGAGGAUGAUCAGUCACACUGGAACUGAGACACGGUCCAGACUCCUACGGGAGGCAGCAGUGGGGAAUAUUGGACAAUGGGCGAAAGCCUGAUCCAGCCAUGCCGCGUGUGUGAAGAAGGUCUUCGGAUUGUAAAGCACUUUAAGUUGGGAGGAAGGGCAGUAACCUAAUACGUUAUUGUUUUGACGUUACCGACAGAAUAAGCACCGGCUAACUCUGUG